AACCCUUGUCCUUAGUUACCAGCACGUUAUGGUGGGCACUCUAAGGAGACUGCCGGUGACAACCGGAGGAAGUGGGGAUGACGUCAAGUCAUCAUGGCCCUUACGGCCUGGGCUACACGCGUGCUACAAUGGUCGGUACAAAGGGUUGCCAAGCCGCGAGGUGGAGCUAAUCCCAUAAAACCGAUCGUAGUCCGGAUCGCAGUCUGCAACUCGACUGCGUGAAGUCGGAAUCGCUAGUAAUCGUGAAUCAGAAUGUCACGGUGAAUACGUUCCCGGGCCUU
RNAcentral lists this ribosomal RNA (281 nucleotides) under uncultured Pseudomonas sp. RNAcentral describes it as "partial 16S ribosomal RNA". It matches the Rfam family "Bacterial small subunit ribosomal RNA", at positions 1100 to 1382 of the family's 1533-position model. The record is from RNAcentral. Lineage: Bacteria; Pseudomonadati; Pseudomonadota; Gammaproteobacteria; Pseudomonadales; Pseudomonadaceae.